GAUGGCUCAGUGAUAGAGCAUCUGCUUUGCAGGCAGAAGGUCCCAGGUUCAAUUCCCUGCAUCUCCA
Podarcis lilfordi (Lilford's wall lizard) is the source of this 67-nucleotide non-coding RNA. The record is from the annotation of a GenBank genome assembly. NCBI's taxonomy places the organism in Eukaryota, Metazoa, Chordata, Lepidosauria, Squamata, Lacertidae.